AGGGUGUAAACGCUGCGGGCUUGGUGUUGGGGGUCCUUAGUGGGCGCCCAGUGCCGGAGAGAAGUUGUUAAGCCUGCUGCUUGGGGAGUAUGUCCGCAAGGAUGAAACUUAAAGGAAUUGGCGGGGGAGCACCACAACGGGUGGAGCCUGCGGUUUAAUUGGACUCAACGCCGGGAAGCUCACCGGAUAAGACAGCGGAAUGAUUGCCGGGCUGAAGACCCUGCAUGACCAGCUGAGAGGAGGUGCAUGGCGUAGACGUCU
This 261-nucleotide ribosomal RNA is filed under the name uncultured archaeon. RNAcentral's name for it is "partial 16S ribosomal RNA". It matches the Rfam family "Archaeal small subunit ribosomal RNA", at positions 748 to 1009 of the family's 1478-position model. The record is from RNAcentral.